GAUUGGAGCACUCGCCAAUGCAGACGAACUAAGCAGUCAGCUUUGCCUGUGAUACAGCCAGAACAACACGAUGGAGCUGGAGGACCUGUACCGGCGCUACUGCUCGCGGCUGAAGCAGUCGCUCUUCCUGUCCGGACUCGGUGUUUCCACGGCCAGCUGCGCGUGCGCACUCACCGCUCUGCUCAUACAGGGCGGCGCAGGCGAGUCGCCGGUGCCGGUGUGGGUGCUGUCGGCGAUGUGCGCGGGCAGCGGCGCG
Schistocerca americana (American grasshopper) is the source of this 256-nucleotide long non-coding RNA. RefSeq lists it as uncharacterized. The record is from RefSeq and is a predicted model, not a curated record. NCBI's taxonomy places the organism in Eukaryota, Metazoa, Arthropoda, Insecta, Orthoptera, Acrididae. The transcript is spliced from 3 exons.